RNAcentral lists this transfer RNA (70 nucleotides) under Lepidophyma flavimaculatum (yellow-spotted night lizard). Its description in RNAcentral is "tRNA-Thr". It matches the Rfam family "tRNA". From Rfam's summary of the family: Transfer RNA (tRNA) molecules are approximately 80 nucleotides in length. Their secondary structure includes four short double-helical elements and three loops (D, anti-codon, and T loops). Lineage: Eukaryota; Metazoa; Chordata; Lepidosauria; Squamata; Xantusiidae. The record is from RNAcentral.
GCCCUCGUAGCUUACAGUUAAAGCACUGGCCUUGUAAGCCAGACGACGCGACCACCCGUCGCCGAGGGCC